RNAcentral lists this non-coding RNA (30 nucleotides) under Mus musculus (house mouse). Lineage: Eukaryota; Metazoa; Chordata; Mammalia; Rodentia; Muridae. The record is from RNAcentral.
UGCAGAAGACCAAAAACAGGUGCCGCCAAC